GAUGAACGCUGGCGGCGUGCCUAAUACAUGCAAGUCGAGCGAACAGACGAGGAGCUUGCUCCUCUGACGUUAGCGGCGGACGGGUGAGUAACACGUGGAUAACCUACCUAUAAGACUGGGAUAACUUCGGGAAACCGGAGCUAAUACCGGAUAAUAUAUUGAACCGCAUGGUUCAAUAGUGAAAGACGGUUUUGCUGUCACUUAUAGAUGGAUCCGCGCCGCAUUAGCUAGUUGGUAAGGUAACGGCUUACCAAGGCAACGAUGCGUAGCCGACCUGAGAGGGUGAUCGGCCACACUGGGACUGAGACACGGUCCAGACUCCUACGGGAGGAAGCAGUAGGGAAUCUUCCGCAAUGGGCGAAAGCCUGACGGAGCAACGCCGCGUGAGUGAUGAAGGUCUUCGGAUCGUAAAAAUCUGUUAUUAGGGAAGAACAAAUGUGUAAGUAACUAUGCACGUCUUGACGGUACCUAAUCAGAAAGCCACGGCUAACUACGUG
This 497-nucleotide ribosomal RNA is filed under the name uncultured bacterium. RNAcentral describes it as "partial 16S ribosomal RNA". It matches the Rfam family "Bacterial small subunit ribosomal RNA", at positions 28 to 507 of the family's 1533-position model. The record is from RNAcentral.